RNAcentral lists this ribosomal RNA (254 nucleotides) under uncultured bacterium. RNAcentral's name for it is "partial 16S ribosomal RNA". It matches the Rfam family "Bacterial small subunit ribosomal RNA", at positions 524 to 776 of the family's 1533-position model. The record is from RNAcentral.
UACAGAGGGUGCAAGCGUUAAUCGGAAUUACUGGGCGUAAAGCGUGCGUAGACGGUAGCGUAAGUCGGGUGUGAAAGCCCCGGGCUCAACCUGGGAAUGGCAUUCGAGACUGCUCUGCUAGGGUGCGGAAGAGGGGAGCGGAAUUUCCGGUGUAGCGGUGAAAUGCGUAGAUAUCGGAAGGAACACCAGUGGCGAAGGCGGUUUCCUGGACAGUUACUGACGCUCAGGCACGAAAGCAUGGGGGAGCAAAAGGG